This 754-nucleotide ribosomal RNA is filed under the name uncultured archaeon. RNAcentral's name for it is "bacterial SSU rRNA". It matches the Rfam family "Archaeal small subunit ribosomal RNA", at positions 102 to 854 of the family's 1478-position model. The record is from RNAcentral.
GGAUAACUUACCCUUAGGACUGGGAUAACUCUGGGAAACUGGGGAUAAUACUGGAUAUUAGGCUAUGCCUGGAAUGGUUUGCCUUUGAAAUGUUUUUUUUCGCCUAAGGAUAGGUCUGCGGCUGAUUAGGUCGUUGGUGGGGUAAUGGCCCACCAAGCCGAUGAUCGGUACGGGUUGUGAGAGCAAGGGCCCGGAGAUGGAACCUGAGACAAGGUUCCAGACCCUACGGGGUGCAGCAGGCGCGAAACCUCCGCAAUGUACGAAAGUGCGACGGGGGGAUCCCAAGUGUUAUGCUUUUUUGUAUGACUUUUCAUUAGUGUAAAAAGCUUUUAGAAUAAGAGCUGGGCAAGACCGGUGCCAGCCGCCGCGGUAACACCGGCAGCUCGAGUGGUAGCUGUUUUUAUUGGGCCUAAAGCGUUCGUAGCCGGUUUGAUAAGUCUUUGGUGAAAGCUUGUAGCUUAACUAUAAGAAUUGCUGGAGAUACUAUUAGACUUGAAGUCGGGAGAGGUUAGAGGUACUACCGGGGUAGGGGUGAAAUCCUAUAAUCCUGGGAGGACCACCUGUGGCGAAGGCGUCUAACUGGAACGAUCUUGACGGUGAGUAACGAAAGCCAGGGGCGCGAACCGGAUUAGAUACCCGGGUAGUCCUGGCCGUAAACGAUGUGGACUUGGUGUUGGAAUGGCUUUGAGUUGUUCCGGUGCCGAAGGGAAGCUGUUAAGUCCACCGCCUGGGAAGUACGGUCGCAAGACUGAAA